This is a long non-coding RNA of Oncorhynchus tshawytscha (Chinook salmon), 418 nucleotides long. NCBI's taxonomy places the organism in Eukaryota, Metazoa, Chordata, Actinopteri, Salmoniformes, Salmonidae. The record is from Ensembl.
GGGGUGAGUAAGGUGGGGUGAGGUGGGGUGAGGUAGGGUGUGGUGAGGUGGGGUGAGGUAGGGUGGGGUGAGGUAGGGUGGGGUGAGGUAGGGUGGGGUGAGGUAGGGUGGGGUGAGGUAGAGUGAGGUGAGGUAGGGUGGGGUGAGGUAGGGUAAGGUAGGGUGAGGUAGGGUGGGGCGAGGUAGGGUGGGGUGAGGUAGGGUGGGGUAAGGUAGGGUAGGAUGAGGCAGGGUGGGGUGAGGUAGGGUGAGGUAGUGUGGGGGCGAGGUAGGGUGGGGUGUGGUAGGGUGGGGUAAGGUAGGGUGGAGUGAGAUGGGGUGAGGUAGGGCGGGGUAAGGCAGGGUGAGGUGGGGUAGGGUGAGGUAGGGUGGGGUGAGGUAUGGUAGGGUGGGGUAGGGUGAGGUGAGGUAGGGUGGG